RNAcentral lists this RNase P RNA (348 nucleotides) under Candidatus Parepulonipiscium sp. PG-Nuni2H_MBin01. Its description in RNAcentral is "Epulopiscium sp. Nuni2H_MBin001 Bacterial RNase P class A". It matches the Rfam family "Bacterial RNase P class A". Rfam says of the family: Ribonuclease P (RNase P) is a ubiquitous endoribonuclease, found in archaea, bacteria and eukarya as well as chloroplasts and mitochondria. Its best characterised activity is the generation of mature 5'-ends of tRNAs by cleaving the 5'-leader elements of precursor-tRNAs. Lineage: Bacteria; Bacillati; Bacillota; Clostridia; Lachnospirales; Lachnospiraceae. The record is from Rfam by way of RNAcentral.
UAAGUAAGUCAGAUAGUCGCAAGCACAGAAUCGAAAGGUUGUGUUUGAGGAACGUCCGAGCUUCAUAGAGCAGAGUGCUGGAUAACACCCAGUGGAGGCGACUCUAAGGAAAGUGCAACAGAAAUAAACCACCUACAUUAUGUAGGAAAGGAUGGAAAGGCGAGGUAAGAGCUCACCGUCUUCUUGGUGACAAGAAGAGCAAUGUAAACCCCACUUGAAGCAAGACCGUAUAAAGACUUUUGUGGCUGCUCGUCACGUCUUAGGUAGGUCGCUAAAGUGUCUAGGUAACUAGGCACAUAGAUAGAUGACUGUCAAAUACAGAACUCGGCGUAUAGAUUUGGUUACAUU